GAUGAACGCUGGCGGCGUGCUUAACACAUGCAAGUCGAACGGAAGGGCUCCUGCUUGCAGGGGUACUCGAGUGGCGAACGGGUGAGUAACACGUGGGUGAUCUGCCCUGCACUUCGGGAUAAGCCUGGGAAACUGGGUCUAAUACCGGAUAGGACCACAUUUUGGAUGGUGUGGUGGAAAGUUUUUCGGUGUGGGAUGAGCUCGCGGCCUAUCAGCUUGUUGGUGGGGUAAUGGCCUACCAAGGCGUCGACGGGUAGCCGGCCUGAGAGGGUGUACGGCCACAUUGGGACUGAGAUACGGCCCAGACUCCUACGGGAGGCAGCAGUGGGGAAUAUUGCACAAUGGGCGCAAGCCUGAUGCAGCGACGCCGCGUGGGGGAUGACGGCCUUCGGGUUGUAAACUCCUUUCGCUAGGGACGAAGCGUUUUUGUGACGGUACCUGGAGAAGAAGCACCGGCUAACUACGUG
Molecule: ribosomal RNA, 467 nt
Filed under: uncultured bacterium
Lineage: Bacteria
Description: partial 16S ribosomal RNA
Rfam family: Bacterial small subunit ribosomal RNA
Source: RNAcentral